This 1086-nucleotide ribosomal RNA is filed under the name Fusarium oxysporum. RNAcentral describes it as "SSU rRNA". It matches the Rfam family "Eukaryotic small subunit ribosomal RNA", at positions 40 to 1116 of the family's 1831-position model. Lineage: Eukaryota; Fungi; Ascomycota; Sordariomycetes; Hypocreales; Nectriaceae. The record is from RNAcentral.
AAGAUUAGCCAUGCAUGUCUAAGUAUAAGCAAUAUACAGCGAAACUGCGAAUGGCUCAUUAUAUAAGUUAUCGUUUAUUUGAUAGUACCUUACUACAUGGAUAACCGUGGUAAUUCUAGAGCUAAUACAUGCUAAAAAUCCCAACUUCGGAAGGGAUGUAUUUAUUAGAUUAAAAACCAAUGCCCUCCGGGGCUCACUGGUGAUUCAUAAUAACUUCUCGAAUCGCAUGGCCUUGCGCCGGCGAUGGUUCAUUCAAAUUUCUUCCCUAUCAACUUUCGAUGUUUGGGUAUUGGCCAAACAUGGUUGCAACGGGUAACGGAGGGUUAGGGCUCGACCCCGGAGAAGGAGCCUGAGAAACGGCUACUACAUCCAAGGAAGGCAGCAGGCGCGCAAAUUACCCAAUCCCGACUCGGGGAGGUAGUGACAAUAAAUACUGAUACAGGGCUCUUUUGGGUCUUGUAAUUGGAAUGAGUACAAUUUAAAUCCCUUAACGAGGAACAAUUGGAGGGCAAGUCUGGUGCCAGCAGCCGCGGUAAUUCCAGCUCCAAUAGCGUAUAUUAAAGUUGUUGUGGUUAAAAAGCUCGUAGUUGAACCUUGGGCCUGGCUGGCCGGUCCGCCUCACCGCGUGUACUGGUCCGGCCGGGCCUUUCCCUCUGUGGAACCCCAUGCCCUUCACUGGGUGUGGCGGGGAAACAGGACUUUUACUGUGAAAAAAUUAGAGUGCUCCAGGCAGGCCUAUGCUCGAAUACAUUAGCAUGGAAUAAUAGAAUAGGACGUGUGGUUCUAUUUUGUUGGUUUCUAGGACCGCCGUAAUGAUUAAUAGGGACAGUCGGGGGCAUCAGUAUUCAAUUGUCAGAGGUGAAAUUCUUGGAUUUAUUGAAGACUAACUACUGCGAAAGCAUUUGCCAAGGAUGUUUUCAUUAAUCAGGAACGAAAGUUAGGGGAUCGAAGACGAUCAGAUACCGUCGUAGUCUUAACCAUAAACUAUGCCGACUAGGGAUCGGACGGUGUUAUAUUUUGACCCGUUCGGCACCUUACGAGAAAUCAAAGUGCUUGGCUUCCAGGGGAGAUUGAAUCGGGGGUUCU